AUUGAACGCUGGCGGAAUGCUUUACACAUGCAAGUCGAACGGCAGCACGGGGGCAACCCUGGUGGCGAGUGGCGAACGGGUGAGUAAUACAUCGGAACGUGCCCGGUCGUGGGGGAUAACGUAGCGAAAGUUACGCUAAUACCGCAUACGAUCUGAGGAUGAAAGCGGGGGACCUUCGGGCCUCGCGCGAUCGGAGCGGCCGAUGUCAGAUUAGGUAGUUGGUGGGGUAAAGGCCUACCAAGCCGACGAUCUGUAGCUGGUCUGAGAGGACGACCAGCCACACUGGGACUGAGACACGGCCCAGACUCCUACGGGAGGCAGCAGUGGGGAAUUUUGGACAAUGGGCGCAAGCCUGAUCCAGCCAUUCCGCGUGCAGGACGAAGGCCUUCGGGUUGUAAACUGCUUUUGUAUGGAACGAAAAGGCUCUGGCUAAUACCUGGGGCUCAUGACGGUGCCGUAAGAAUAAGCACCGGCUAACUACGUG
RNAcentral lists this ribosomal RNA (484 nucleotides) under uncultured bacterium. Its description in RNAcentral is "partial 16S ribosomal RNA". It matches the Rfam family "Bacterial small subunit ribosomal RNA", at positions 30 to 507 of the family's 1533-position model. The record is from RNAcentral.